UAACCCCUCAAGCCUAGCUUGGUGUUGGGGCCUGCUGUUACCGGCAGCCUUUAAAAUCAGUGGCGGUGCCAUCUGGCUCUAAGCGUAGUAAUACUUCUCGCUAUAGGGUCCUGGUGGAUGCUUGCCAUCAACCCCUAGUUUUCUAU
This 146-nucleotide unclassified non-coding RNA is filed under the name uncultured Leohumicola. RNAcentral's name for it is "sequence contains ITS2". The record is from RNAcentral. Lineage: Eukaryota; Fungi; Ascomycota; Leotiomycetes.